UACGUAGGGGGCAAGCGUUGUCCGGAAUUACUGGGCGUAAAGCGCACGUAGGCGGCUUUGUAAGUUAGAGGUGAAAGCCCAGGGCUCAACCCUGGAAUUGCCUUUAAGACUGCAUCGCUUGAAUCAUGGAGAGGUGAGUGGAAUUCCGAGUGUAGAGGUGAAAUUCGUAGAUAUUCGGAAGAACACCAGUGGCGAAGGCGACUCACUGGACAUGUAUUGACGCUGAGGUGCGAAAGCGUGGGGAGCAAACAGG
Molecule: ribosomal RNA, 253 nt
Filed under: uncultured bacterium
Lineage: Bacteria
Description: partial 16S ribosomal RNA
Rfam family: Bacterial small subunit ribosomal RNA
Source: RNAcentral